ACGCUCGACACCUACGAGAGGCAGCAGUAGGGAAUCUUCCACAAUGGACGCAAGUCUGAUGGAGCAACGCCGCGUGAGUGAAGAAGGUCUUCGGAUCGUAAAACUCUGUUGUUAGAGAAGAACACGAGUGAGAGUAACUGUUCAUUCGAUGACGGUAUCUAACCAGCAAGUCACGGCUAACUACGUGCCAGCACGCCGGACGGUUAAUCUGAGGCGGGCUGGACGAAGGC
This 230-nucleotide ribosomal RNA is filed under the name uncultured bacterium. RNAcentral's name for it is "partial 16S ribosomal RNA". It matches the Rfam family "Bacterial small subunit ribosomal RNA", at positions 328 to 538 of the family's 1533-position model. The record is from RNAcentral.